GAUGAGGUGGCCGAGAGGUUAAGCCGAUGGACUGCUAAUCCAUUGUGCUCUGCACGUGGGGUUCGAGUCCCACCCUCAUUC
Molecule: transfer RNA, 81 nt
Filed under: Ameiurus melas (black bullhead)
Lineage: Eukaryota; Metazoa; Chordata; Actinopteri; Siluriformes; Ictaluridae
Rfam family: tRNA
About the family: Transfer RNA (tRNA) molecules are approximately 80 nucleotides in length. Their secondary structure includes four short double-helical elements and three loops (D, anti-codon, and T loops).
Source: Rfam by way of RNAcentral